RNAcentral lists this ribosomal RNA (881 nucleotides) under uncultured Neisseriaceae bacterium. RNAcentral's name for it is "bacterial SSU rRNA". It matches the Rfam family "Bacterial small subunit ribosomal RNA". Lineage: Bacteria; Pseudomonadati; Pseudomonadota; Betaproteobacteria; Neisseriales; Neisseriaceae. The record is from RNAcentral.
AUUGAACGCUGGCGGCAUGCUUUACACAUGCAAGUCGGACGGCAGCAUAAAAGAGCUUGCUCUUUUGAUGGCGAGUGGCGAACGGGUGAGUAAUGCAUCGGAACGUACCGAGUAGUGGGGGAUAACUGUCCGAAAGGAUGGCUAAUACCGCAUAUUCUCUGAGGAGGAAAGCAGGGGACCUUAGGGCCUUGCGCUAUUUGAGCGGCCGAUGUCUGAUUAGCUAGUUGGUGGGGUAAGAGCCCACCAAGGCGACGAUCAGUAGCGGGUCUGAGAGGAUGAUCCGCCACACUGGGACUGAGACACGGCCCAGACUCCUACGGGAGGCAGCAGUGGGGAAUUUUGGACAAUGGGCGCAAGCCUGAUCCAGCCAUGCCGCGUGUAUGAAGAAGGCCUUCGGGUUGUAAAGUACUUUUGUCAGGGAAGAAAAGCCUGAGGAUAACACCCUCAGGUCAUGACGGUACCUGAAGAAUAAGCACCGGCUAACUACGUGCCAGCAGCCGCGGUAAUACGUAGGGUGCGAGCGUUAAUCGGAAUUACUGGGCGUAAAGCGAGCGCAGACGGUUAUUUAAGCAAGAUGUGAAAGCCCCGGGCUCAACCUGGGAACUGCGUUUUGAACUGGGUAACUAGAGUGUGUCAGAGGGGGGUAGAAUUCCACGUGUAGCAGUGAAAUGCGUAGAGAUGUGGAGGAAUACCGAUGGCGAAGGCAGCCCCCUGGGAUAACACUGACGUUCAUGCUCGAAAAGCGUGGGUAGCAAACAGGAUUAUAUACCCUGGUAGUCCAAGGGCGAAUUCCACAGUGGGAUAUCAAGCUUAUCGAGACCGUCGACCUCGAGGGGGGGCCACGGUACCCAGCUUUUGUUCCCUUUAGUAAGGUUUAUUUG